GAAGCAGCUGCUUUUGUUUUCUUUUUAAAUUUUCUUUUAUUUUGUUAUUGUUGGUAUGAAAGUAAAAAUGAAAAUAAUGCUUUCACAAAUCAUAUCUGAUCUCAUAAUGAUUAGCUGUUUUGGCGUGGCUACUUGAGUUUGAGCUGCAUGAUACAUGCAUAAACUUUCAGAUAUUCUUUUAAUGUGACAAAAGUUAAACCACCACACAGCAAAACAAUCUCGAGUGGAGUAAAUUUGAGUCUAAAGCAAUAAAAUGUAAUGGUUUAAUUGACCAUACACUGUGCACAAAUCAACGCUAAAAUUGGAACCACUAAAGACUAGAGAAAAAUUGGCAUUGUCGGCGAAACAGUAAUUUCAAAACACUUGACAACCUAGUGGCGCAAAAGUGUCUUGGCCCUUCCGACUUAUGGAAUCCGCGCCUGGAUGAGAUAUCGAUUUGGACGAAGUGAAAGUUUCCAGCAGCCGAGAACUACCCAGUCAUCCGCCUCGUCCUUUCCUCCUAGGACCCGUCAUCGUCUUAAGUGUCACCCUAACAUCUUCCAAGGACUCCAACGUCAUCUCCGAAGUGACAAUCCGACUACCAAAAUUACAGCCCGUGAAGUCAGGACCCUUAGACCGGAACCCUUAUUAUCUUUGAGAUAUUGCUGCGGAAUAACUCUUUUGGCUAUCUCCUUGCUCGCAACUGCAUGCGAUUCGAGAGUUGCUUCUUCGAGGACAAAAACAAACAUCAAAGCAAACUACAGAAUAGGGUCGCAAGAAACACCACCGGUUCACUAUCGACCUUUGUCCGGAGACUUCAUGACCAGCAGCUCAAAAAACUCUGGAAGCCAUGCCGUUAUAGCACCCCAUCCUAUAAGAGGAAAUCAAGAUCAGAUCGGUCCGAAGUAUCCCACAUACCCCCAGGAGCCUCCGGUCUACUCCUUGUUUAAUCCCAAGGGUCCAGAGGAGAUGGUUGGCGACGAUCCGAACACCUGGUCUUCACAUGUUGGGAAGGGCGGAGGAGGAGGGAAAGUGGACAAAAAAAGUGCUGCAGAAUGGGGAAGAGCGAUCACGUGGCCUAUAAGAGAGGUCAAAAGUUCGAGCGAGUUCUUCUUCGAUUCCCUGUCCCCGGCUUGGGGAUACAUGCAGCGGGUACCGCAAGUGGUGUUGCCCAGACGUUCCGGGUUCAAUCUAUUGAGGCUGCAGAGGUCAGAUAGGGUCAAGGCUUCGGUGCUUCUCAGAUCAAUCGACAUGGACGAUGACGGAGUUAUAUCCUUGGACGAAUGGACUAUCAUGAGCAGGUACCUUCGUUUGGCCUAAAAAGUCAAAAAGACGAAACAAUGAACAAUCCAAACUUGAAACAUGCAUCUAGUAAUCAUUUUGAGGGACAACAAGAAAACUCGAUCACUAACGCGGGAGCAGUUUUUCUAUUUCGAAUCCACAAUUUAGCUUAUUUUGAGUAGUCGAUAUCAUAUAAUUUAAUACUAAAAAGGUUAUAUGAUAGUAAGUUUUUGUAUCAAUUGCAAAGUUUCAAUAAACUUGAAGGAGUC
This is a long non-coding RNA of Symsagittifera roscoffensis, 1529 nucleotides long. RefSeq lists it as uncharacterized. The transcript has 3 exons. NCBI's taxonomy places the organism in Eukaryota, Metazoa, Xenacoelomorpha, Acoela, Convolutidae. The record is from RefSeq and is a predicted model, not a curated record.